RNAcentral lists this long non-coding RNA (1061 nucleotides) under Homo sapiens (human). RNAcentral's name for it is "HSALNT0326377". Lineage: Eukaryota; Metazoa; Chordata; Mammalia; Primates; Hominidae. The record is from RNAcentral.
CUUGGGCCCCGCGGCGCUGCGCCUCCAACCCGGAAGAACAGCCCCAACUCCGCGGCGGCGGGCGGCCACGUGACUGCAGCUCCGCUCCCACCUCGGCCCGCGCCCCUUCCCCGCCCCAGCUUUCUUCCCGCCAGGCCCCCUCCACCCGAUCGCCGCGCGCUCUCCGAACCAAAAGGCGACCUCACGAAAUGCCCCUUUGAGCUCAAAGGCUAGUUACCCCCAGGGGCCCUUCCACUCUCGGGGACAGGCGAAACCUCUUUGUCUCUGCCUCGGCCUGCGGCCCCCAGCCCAGCCUCCGCGCUUUCCCUCCGCCAGUCCUUGUCAAUCAAACCUGGUGCCAAACGCGGCAGCUGAAGUUUUCAGGGACACAUUUGCUUCUCCCCUUGAAGAACCAGUUACAAAGCGUGAUGUCCUCUCUGGGGUCCCAUCAGAACAAAGAAACAGGUCUAAAGACCCUCAUUCCAGAGAGCAUCCUGCCCCAUAUCCAGAAUGAAAUCCAUGCUCAGAGAUGCCAAGAAGAAUCUAGACAGACAGGCCUUUCUAGAGUCAAGAAAAUUGUUUUUUUCUUUUGAGCUGUACAUAGCUUACAGUAAUUAGAUAAAUUACACUUUUGUGAGAACAAUUGAAACACUAACCUUUCUCUCUACCUGAUGUCUCCAGAAUUUGGAAAGUAUUUCCCUGCAGACUGGAGCAAGACAACUUGAAUAAACUAUGGGAAAAAUCACUACAGCAACUUAUAUAUAAACAGCUUUUAUGCUUUGUUGAUGUAUGGAAUACUCAGAAAGUUCACUGCAACACCUGAUUUAAACUACAACCAGGAGACUCUGUCAGAUUAACACUACAAUCUGAAGAACUACAGAGACUCUCAAAAAACUAGUGUAUAGUCUACAGUAGAUAUUAACCUUUGUUUUUCUUCUGUUUUCAUAGAAACACCUUUUAUUAAAAAUCUGUUUGCCGCUUCAUAUAUAGAGUCCUAGUCCAUCUGUAAUGCCACCCCCUGGAAUGAGACAUAGCUGUUUAACUGAACUGAUCUAUUCUCGGGACUAAGAGACUGAUAAAAA